RNAcentral lists this RNase P RNA (363 nucleotides) under Chloroflexota bacterium. RNAcentral describes it as "Chloroflexi bacterium RNase P RNA component class A". It matches the Rfam family "Bacterial RNase P class A". From Rfam's summary of the family: Ribonuclease P (RNase P) is a ubiquitous endoribonuclease, found in archaea, bacteria and eukarya as well as chloroplasts and mitochondria. Its best characterised activity is the generation of mature 5'-ends of tRNAs by cleaving the 5'-leader elements of precursor-tRNAs. Cellular RNase Ps are ribonucleoproteins. Lineage: Bacteria; Bacillati; Chloroflexota. The record is from RNAcentral.
CCAGCAGGCCGGGCGACCGCUUCGAUCCUAUCGGAGAGGAAGGUCCGAGCUCCUCCGGGCAGCGCACUGGGUAACACCCAGGCCCCGGCUGCGCAAGCAACUGGGGACGGAAAGUGGCACAGAAACAUACCCCCCGACGCGUCGGGGAAGGGUGAAAUGGCGGGGUAAGAGCCCACCGGCGGCGGCGCGAACCGCGGGCCGGCCAAACCCUGCGCGGAGCAAGGCCAAAUAGGAGGGUGCUAAGGGCGCCCGGCCCAAACCCUCGGGUUGGCCGCUUGAGGCCCUGAGCAAUUAGGGUCCUAGAUUGAUGAUCGCCCCCCGACAUGUCGGGGACAGAACUCGGCCUACAGGUCUGCUGGGCUU